Molecule: long non-coding RNA, 1239 nt
Filed under: Cricetulus griseus (Chinese hamster)
Lineage: Eukaryota; Metazoa; Chordata; Mammalia; Rodentia; Cricetidae
Description: lncRNA (ENSCGRG00015043058.1)
Source: RNAcentral
CACCAUUGAAUAUCCCAAAGAAGCCAAUGGUACCCAAAGGGAUUAAUAUGUCCUCUGGGCUCUUAGGAGAAAUACAGUUAGGCUGUGGGUCUUAGACCUUAUAUUUUAUUUUUUCCAUAAUUCUAAUUUCUUUUAGCCUUUAGACAGUUUCCUUAAGUGGAGGCACUGUCAUGUUCCCUUCAUCCCAUCUGUGCUUCUGGUACCCUUCCCAACUGUUACUAAAGUGGACUCAGGUGUCCUUCCCUCAUCACAAAACCCAUGUUGUCAAUAAUAAUGUUGUCUACUUUUAUGUCCUGCCCUCCUUGAUUUAUUACUAUCAAGAUCUAUCCCCAUAUUUUUGUCCUCUGUUCAAACAACUGACACUAUUCUUUACCUCACUGGAGGUAGGUGCAGGGCCCCUAGGAAAGGACAGGCUACUCUCUCUAGACCAGCAGUUCUCAACUUGUGGGUUGAGACCCCUUUGGGGGUCAAAUGACCCUUUUACAGGGAUCCCCAAGACCAUCUGCAUAUCAGGUAUUUAUAUUACAAUUUAUAACAGUAACAAAAUUAUAGUUAUGAAGUAGCAAUGAAAAUAAAUUUAUGGUUGGGGUUGUCACCACAACAUGAGAUAUUAGGAAGGCUGAGAACCACUACUCUAGGCAAAGCAGAAGGAACAGUGCAUGCCAAAUGAACACAGAAGAAAGUGUGAGUGGAAACUUCAUAGGCUAAAUGCUUUCAUGACAGGUUUCAGCAUUCCAUUCUUUGUUCAUCAAGGACUUUGAUAUAGGUGACAUCUCUGGGCUAUCCAUUCCUUUGUAGUUCUGUUACCAUGGUGUUCAAUAUCGGGUCUGAUUGCCAGGCAUUCCAAGUUCUGUCAAAGAAGACUCCAUGUAAAAUGCAAGAGUUUGGUGAUGUCUUCAAAUGUAAUGACCCUUCCUCUGGCCCUUCUCAGUGACCCUUGGCACUAAUGGGACACAGUUUGACCAGCUGCUUCCCACUCCUGCUGUCUUGGCUUCCUCACUGUGAUGGACUGUAUCAUGAACUGCAAGCCAGAAUGUACUCUGCCUUCCUUGAGUUCUGCCAGGGAAUUUUGUCACAGCAACAGGAAAAGUAAUACAGACUCAUUCUCAACGUUUGACUUUCAGCACUGUAAAAUGAUACAUUUACUUUAUCUUAAGGGGAUUAUCUCAUCUUCAAAGAUGAAGUAAAAGAGAGAAGACAAGGAAGGAAGGAGGGAGGGAGGAACAAAGUAAAGAAGAG